UUGUGACUGUGGAAUUGGGUGGAUAAAAGCAUGGGACCGAAAGAGACGACAGUAUCUGUGCGACAGCACAUCGAAAUGUAUAUCAACGCGCGAUGACGUUAGAUUUGCAACCUGCCCACUUAUGAUAACAGAACUUUUGCUGACGUCCUGACGCGGGAUUUGGAUUGCGAAUGGAACAAAGGAUUUCUGAGAUCACCAAACUUCUACAUAGUAUUAGGAAUGUCGAUCCUAACGUGCCUGUAUAUAUGAGGACUAUUUUGGCUACUUGGGGUAUACGAAGAGUUCAACCUGAUUUUGGCACGGGUGUAUAAUUUUUAGGGCACUUUGAGGCCUCAAGACGUUUAAUUAGAAAAAAAA
Trichoplusia ni (cabbage looper) is the source of this 357-nucleotide long non-coding RNA. RefSeq lists it as uncharacterized. NCBI's taxonomy places the organism in Eukaryota, Metazoa, Arthropoda, Insecta, Lepidoptera, Noctuidae. The record is from RefSeq and is a predicted model, not a curated record. The transcript is spliced from 3 exons.